UGUUACAGGAUACACAGUAAUAGGUUCAGAUUAAAACUCUGUCUCCAAGGAGUGAGGGCGGCAUUGCGUCGUCCUCAGCUGGGGAAUCAUGAAAGAGAGCGGCAUUUUGAGAUCCAAGCUUCCUGGAAGUUCGGCGUGGGUCCUUUCCCCCUCCUGCUCUGAAGAAUCUCUCCUCACCCCAAAUCAGCUAAGUGUCUCAAACAGUUGUUUUGACACUAAGAGGAACAAUACCUUGCUGGACAGACACUGAAAGUGACAUUUCCUAAACAGAAAUUUCUGCCGACAUCUUGGUGCCUUCCCUGUUUCUUCCAUGCCAUCCCUGAUGAUUGGAAUGCCCUUUCCAGAUCUGUUCACCAAGUCUCCACCUUUGCCUAAUUCAAACCACUCCUAAAAACUCUCUUCUGCUGACUGCCUGCAAACAGCUGUUGUUGUUCCCCCCUGUGAUGUGGUGCCUGCCACAGACUGGGCUCUAAGGAGUUAAUAGAGCCUUAGAGAGGCUGCACAGGAGCCAGCCAAUCAGAGAAGGGCUGAGGGGAGCUGCUAACCAGAUCCUGGCAGACCCCUAUAAGAAGAGCUGCAGGGCAGAGCAACUUCAGUUA
This is a long non-coding RNA of Mauremys mutica (yellowpond turtle), 599 nucleotides long. RefSeq lists it as uncharacterized. Lineage: Eukaryota; Metazoa; Chordata; Testudines; Geoemydidae. The transcript has 4 exons. The record is from RefSeq and is a predicted model, not a curated record.